UGGAUAACCUGCCUCAAGGCUGGGGAUAACAUUUGGAAACAGAUGCUAAUACCGAAUAAAACUUAGUAUCGCAUGAUAUCAAGUUAAAAGGCGCUACGGCGUCACCUAGAGAUGGAUCCGCGGUGCAUUAGUUAGUUGGUGGGGUAAAGGCUUACCAAGACAAUGAUGCAUAGCCGAGUUGAGAGACUGAUCGGCCACAUUGGGACUGAGACACGGCCCAAACUCCUACGGGAGGCUGCAGUAGGGAAUCUUCCACAAUGGGCGCAAGCCUGAUGGAGCAACGCCGCGUGUGUGAUGAAGGCUUUCGGGUCGUAAAGCACUGUUGUAUGGGAAGAAAUGCUAAAAUAGGGAAUGAUUUUAGUUUGACGGUACCAUACCAGAAAGGGACGGCUAAAUACGUGCCAGCAGCCGCGGUAAUACGUAUGUCCCGAGCGUUAUCCGGAUUUAUUGGGCGUAAAGCGAGCGCAGACGGUUGAUUAAGUCUGAUGUGAAAGCCCGGAGCUCAACUCCGGAAUGGCAUUGGAAACUGGUUAACUUGAGUGUUGUAGAGGUAAGUGGAACUCCAUGUGUAGCGGUGGAAUGCGUAGAUAUAUGGAAGAACACCAGUGGCGAAGGCGGCUUACUGGA
This 627-nucleotide ribosomal RNA is filed under the name Leuconostoc citreum. Its description in RNAcentral is "bacterial SSU rRNA". It matches the Rfam family "Bacterial small subunit ribosomal RNA", at positions 118 to 733 of the family's 1533-position model. Lineage: Bacteria; Bacillati; Bacillota; Bacilli; Lactobacillales; Lactobacillaceae. The record is from RNAcentral.